Molecule: unclassified non-coding RNA, 333 nt
Filed under: soil metagenome
Description: partial contains 5.8S ribosomal RNA, internal transcribed spacer 2, and large subunit ribosomal RNA
Rfam family: 5.8S ribosomal RNA (bases 1-120)
Source: RNAcentral
GUUGAAGAACGUAGCGAAAUGCGAUAAGUAAUGUGAAUUGCAGAAUUCAGUGAAUCAUCGAAUCUUUGAACGCACAUUGCGCCCGCCAGUAUUCUGGCGGGCAUGCCUGUUCGAGCGUCAUUUCAACCAUCAAGCCCUGCUUGCGUUGGGGUCCUGCGGCUGCCCGCAGGCCCUGAAAACCAGUGGCGGGCUCGCUAGUCACACCGAGCGCAGUAAUACAUCUCGCUUUGGGCGUGCGGCGGGUUCUUGCCGUUAAACACCCCCUUUUUACCAAGGUUGACCUCGGAUCAGGUAGGAAUACCCGCUGAACUUAAGCAUAUCAAUAGCGGAGGA